UGAUGCGAUCAUACCAGUGCUAAAGCACCGGAUCCCAUUAGAACUUCGAAGUUAAGCGUGCUUGGGCGAGAGUAGUACUAGGAUGGGUGACCUCCUCGGAAGUCCUCGUGUUGCAUUCC
RNAcentral lists this ribosomal RNA (119 nucleotides) under Zea mays. The record is from RNAcentral. Lineage: Eukaryota; Viridiplantae; Streptophyta; Magnoliopsida; Poales; Poaceae.